Long non-coding RNA from Lethenteron reissneri (Far Eastern brook lamprey), 425 nucleotides. RefSeq lists it as uncharacterized. Lineage: Eukaryota; Metazoa; Chordata; Hyperoartia; Petromyzontiformes; Petromyzontidae. The record is from RefSeq and is a predicted model, not a curated record.
CCUGACGGAAAUGUUCAACUCUAUGCACUGUCAAUUGUUCAAGUUGAACAUUUGUAACGUCAGAGUUGACUGUGAGGUCGACAAAAAGGAGACUACGAUGAGAGUUGCCCAGGAGACAAUCGACGCUUUGCAGACCUCAACUCGAGAGAAACAGCUUGAAAAGGAACAACUCGCCGUUCAACUCAAAGACGCGACUAACAGCACACAAGAAUUAACGGCGGAAAUCACCGCCACCAGGGAAAUGUGCGACGGUCUGCAGGUCCAAUUCUCUUCGGCGCAACAAACACUAACGAAAGCUGAAGCAGAUAAGGAAGAAAUGAAAGAAUUCCGUUUGUCAGUGAAAGCAGAAGUGAAGACAUUUGCAGUGACUUUGAGUGAUUUAAAUUCAAAGUUUCAAAAUGACAAGAACAUCGCGUUGGCCAAAG